Molecule: ribosomal RNA, 408 nt
Filed under: uncultured bacterium
Lineage: Bacteria
Description: partial 16S ribosomal RNA
Rfam family: Bacterial small subunit ribosomal RNA
Source: RNAcentral
AGUGAACGCUGGCGGCAUGCCUAAUACAUGCAAGUCGAACGAAGAGGCGCACGGGUGUGUAAUAUAUAGUUAAUCUGCCCUACACAGAGGAACAACAGUUGGAAACGACUGCUAAUACCUCAUAGUGUAGGAUGAGACUAUAUCGUAUCAGCUAGUUGGUAAGGUAAUGGUUUACCAAGGCUAUGACGCGUAACUGGUCUGAGAGGAUGAUCAGUCACAGUGGACGUGAGACACGGUCCAAACACCUACGGGAGUGAGCAGGAAGGUAUAUUGCGCAACGGGGGAAACCCGGACGCAGCAACGCCGCGUGGAGGAUGACACUUUGCGAAGCGUAAACGCCUUUUAUCAGGAAAGCGGUACCUGAUGAAUAAGCACCGGCUAACUCCGUGCCAGCAGCCGCGGUAAUAC